UACGGAGGGUGCAAGCGUUAUCCGGAUUCACUGGGUUUAAAGGGUGCGUAGGCGGGUUGGUAAGUCAGUGGUGAAAUCUCCGAGCUUAACUUGGAAACUGCCAUUGAUACUAUCAAUCUUGAAUAUUGUGGAGGUCAGCGGAAUAUGUCAUGUAGCGGUGAAAUGCUUAGAUAUGACAUAGAACACCAAUUGCGAAGGCAGCUGGCUACACAUAUAUUGACACUGAGGCACGAAAGCGUGGGGAUCAAACAGG
This 253-nucleotide ribosomal RNA is filed under the name uncultured bacterium. Its description in RNAcentral is "partial 16S ribosomal RNA". It matches the Rfam family "Bacterial small subunit ribosomal RNA", at positions 524 to 776 of the family's 1533-position model. The record is from RNAcentral.